RNAcentral lists this long non-coding RNA (232 nucleotides) under Elaeis guineensis (African oil palm). Its description in RNAcentral is "long non-coding RNA (EGUI_LNC053926)". The record is from RNAcentral. Lineage: Eukaryota; Viridiplantae; Streptophyta; Magnoliopsida; Arecales; Arecaceae.
GAGGCUAAAAAUUCAUUUUGACUAUCUAAUCGAUGGCUCGGGAGUGUAUAUAGUUGCGUAUCAUCGAAUAGAAUGUGUAGAAAUAAUUUAUUCAAGAAUCGAAUGAGUAUAUCAAAAGAUACAUCUUUGUAUCAAAAGAUACAUCUCCAUAUCGAAACUUACUAAUAUUAUUUUAUUUUUUUGUUAUAGGAUGGAGAAACAUCCGACUCUCAUCCACCAGCUACUAAAGAGG